UAUUAGUUCAUUUAAAAAUAAAAAGUGUAAUUGAAGUGGCAAAGUGGGAUGCGUUUCAGUCCAAGUUGCUUUAUUUAAGAGAACUAAAGGAUGCCUUUCCAAGAUAGGGUUCUCAUCUUUUGGUGUUGAGUUAGUUUCUCUCUGGUCUUUUCUUUUUUCUUUUUAUCUAUUUGAAGAAGAUGGAUCUGUACUUGAAGAUGUGAUUUAUAAGUGGUCUUGGCAAUGAUUGUCAUAAUUUAACUUGUAAAAAUUCAUAAUAUAAUGUAACGGCUUACAUAUUUAUUAUUAUUAUUAUUAUUAUUAUUAUGUUGAUAUAACUUUAUGAAUAACUUUCGAGGUUGAUUA
Long non-coding RNA from Lathyrus oleraceus (garden pea), 345 nucleotides. RefSeq lists it as uncharacterized. NCBI's taxonomy places the organism in Eukaryota, Viridiplantae, Streptophyta, Magnoliopsida, Fabales, Fabaceae. The transcript has 2 exons. The record is from RefSeq and is a predicted model, not a curated record.